UGGCUCAGAUGGUAAAGCGUCUGCCUACAAUGCAGAAGACCCAGGUUCGAGCCCUGG
Molecule: transfer RNA, 57 nt
Filed under: Ovis aries (sheep)
Lineage: Eukaryota; Metazoa; Chordata; Mammalia; Artiodactyla; Bovidae
Rfam family: tRNA
About the family: Transfer RNA (tRNA) molecules are approximately 80 nucleotides in length. Their secondary structure includes four short double-helical elements and three loops (D, anti-codon, and T loops). Further hydrogen bonds mediate the characteristic L-shaped molecular structure. tRNAs have two regions of fundamental functional importance: the anti-codon, which is responsible for specific mRNA codon recognition, and the 3' end, to which the tRNAs corresponding amino acid is attached (by aminoacyl-tRNA synthetases). tRNAs cope with the degeneracy of the genetic code in two manners: having more than one tRNA (with a specific anti-codon) for a particular amino acid; and 'wobble' base-pairing, i.e. permitting non-standard base-pairing at the 3rd anti-codon position.
Source: Rfam by way of RNAcentral